RNAcentral lists this ribosomal RNA (253 nucleotides) under uncultured bacterium. RNAcentral's name for it is "partial 16S ribosomal RNA". It matches the Rfam family "Bacterial small subunit ribosomal RNA", at positions 524 to 776 of the family's 1533-position model. The record is from RNAcentral.
UACGAAGGGGGCGAGCGUUGUUCGGAUUUACUGGGCGUAAAGGGCGCGUAGGCGGCGCUUCAAGUCGCGUGUGAAAGCCCCGGGCUCAACCUGGGAAUGGCGCUUGGGACUGGUUGGCUUGAGUUCGGGAGAGGAGAGUGGAAUUCCCAGUGUAGAGGUGAAAUUCGUAGAUAUUGGGAAGAACACCGGUGGCGAAGGCGGCUCUCUGGACCGAGACUGACGCUGAGGCGCGAAAGCGUGGGGAGCAAACAGG